This 553-nucleotide ribosomal RNA is filed under the name Paracoccus marcusii. RNAcentral's name for it is "bacterial SSU rRNA". It matches the Rfam family "Bacterial small subunit ribosomal RNA", at positions 98 to 686 of the family's 1533-position model. Lineage: Bacteria; Pseudomonadati; Pseudomonadota; Alphaproteobacteria; Rhodobacterales; Paracoccaceae. The record is from RNAcentral.
GCGGACGGGUGAGUAACGCGUGGGAACGUGCCCUUCUCUACGGAAUAGCCCCGGGAAACUGGGAGUAAUACCGUAUACGCCCUUUGGGGGAAAGAUUUAUCGGAGAAGGAUCGGCCCGCGUUGGAUUAGGUAGUUGGUGGGGUAAUGGCCCACCAAGCCGACGAUCCAUAGCUGGUUUGAGAGGAUGAUCAGCCACACUGGGACUGAGACACGGCCCAGACUCCUACGGGAGGCAGCAGUGGGGAAUCUUAGACAAUGGGGGCAACCCUGAUCUAGCCAUGCCGCGUGAGUGAUGAAGGCCUUAGGGUUGUAAAGCUCUUUCAGCUGGGAAGAUAAUGACGGUACCAGCAGAAGAAGCCCCGGCUAACUCCGUGCCAGCAGCCGCGGUAAUACGGAGGGGGCUAGCGUUGUUCGGAAUUACUGGGCGUAAAGCGCACGUAGGCGGACUGGAAAGUCAGAGGUGAAAUCCCAGGGCUCAACCUUGGAACUGCCUUUGAAACUAUCAGUCUGGAGUUCGAGAGAGGUGAGUGGAAUUCCGAGUGUAGAGGUGAAA